GUGCUCGCUUUGGCAGCACAUAGAUUAAAACUGGAGCAAUACAGAGAAGAUCAGCAUGGCCUUUGCACAAGACUGACACACAAAUUUUUGAAGCAUUCCAUAUUUUU
Molecule: small nuclear RNA, 107 nt
Organism: Cebus imitator (Panamanian white-faced capuchin)
Lineage: Eukaryota; Metazoa; Chordata; Mammalia; Primates; Cebidae
Source: Ensembl